Molecule: ribosomal RNA, 234 nt
Filed under: uncultured bacterium
Lineage: Bacteria
Description: partial 16S ribosomal RNA
Rfam family: Bacterial small subunit ribosomal RNA
Source: RNAcentral
UACGUAGGGUGCAAGCGUUGUCCGGAAUUAUUGGGCGUAAAGAGCUCGUAGGCGGUCUGUCGCGUCUGCUGUGAAAACUCAGGGCUUAACCCUGAGCUUGCAGUGGGUACGGGCAGACUAGAGUGCGGUAGGGGAGACUGGAAUUCCUGGUGUAGCGGUGAAAUGCGCAGAUAUCAGGAGGAACACCGGUGGCGAAGGCGGCUCACUGGCUCGUUUCUGACGCUCAGGCGCGAC